CGUCUUCUGCAUCCUCUUAGUUGGAUAGCACCAACGAUUUUGCACGGGCCCACCCAAACUUGCCUCGGUCGGUAGAUGUAAAAUCAAAUGCUGCAUUGGAUUGAAGAAGCCCGGCGGAAAUAUCUUUUCUAACUUGCACAACAACUACGGUGCAAACUCCUCCAUGUCAUCUGCCACGCCAGACGACAAUUCUUUCGCACAAAUAACACAAAAGAAAAA
Molecule: long non-coding RNA, 219 nt
Filed under: Hordeum vulgare
Lineage: Eukaryota; Viridiplantae; Streptophyta; Magnoliopsida; Poales; Poaceae
Description: long non-coding RNA (HVUL_LNC009912)
Source: RNAcentral